AACUCUGAGGGUCUGGCUCGUGCGUCGUGAGAGCGCAGCCAACUGCGUGAAUUAGUGUGAAUUGCAGGAUAUCUUGAACAUCGACAUCUUGAACGCAUAUUGCGGCCUCAGGUCUCCCCUGUGGCCACGCCUGGCCGAGGGUCG
Molecule: non-coding RNA, 144 nt
Organism: Macrostomum lignano
Lineage: Eukaryota; Metazoa; Platyhelminthes; Macrostomidae
Source: Rfam